UGGGGAAUAUUGGACAAUGGGCGAAAGCCUGAUCCAGCAAUGCCGCGUGAGUGAUGAAGGCCUUAGGGUUGUAAAGCUCUUUUUACCAGGGAUGAUAAUGACAGUACCUGGAGAAUAAGCUCCGGCUAACUCCGUGCCAGCAGUCGCGGUAAUACGGAGGGAGCUAGCGUUGUUCGGAAUUACUGGGCGUAAAGCGUACGUAGGCGGUGACUCAAGUCAGAGGUGAAAGCCUGGAGCUCAACUCCAGAACUGCCUUUGAAACUAGGUCGCUAGAAUCACGGAGAGGUGAGUGGAAUUCCGAGUGUAGAGGUGAAAUUCGUAGAUAUUAGGAAGAACACCGGUGGCGAAGGCGGCUCACUGGCUCGAUACUGACACUGAGGUGCGAAAGCGUGGGGAGCAAACGGGAUUAGAUACCCCUGUAGUCCCUGAGCGGGCUGGCAAGGCG
This 445-nucleotide ribosomal RNA is filed under the name uncultured bacterium. Its description in RNAcentral is "bacterial SSU rRNA". It matches the Rfam family "Bacterial small subunit ribosomal RNA", at positions 355 to 822 of the family's 1533-position model. The record is from RNAcentral.